UACGGGGGGAGCAAGCGUUGUUCGGAUUUACUGGGCGUAAAGGGCGCGUAGGCGGUCAGCACAAGUCAGUUGUGAAAUCUCCGGGCUUAACUCGGAAAGGUCAACUGAUACUGUGCGACUAGAGUGCAGAAGGGGCAACUGGAAUUCUCGGUGUAGCGGUGAAAUGCGUGGAUAUCGAGAGGGACACCUGCGGCGAAGGCGGGUUGCUGGGCUGACACUGACGCUGAGGCGCGAAAGCCAGGGGAGCGAACGGG
RNAcentral lists this ribosomal RNA (254 nucleotides) under uncultured bacterium. RNAcentral's name for it is "partial 16S ribosomal RNA". It matches the Rfam family "Bacterial small subunit ribosomal RNA", at positions 524 to 776 of the family's 1533-position model. The record is from RNAcentral.